GACGAACGCUGGCGGCGUGCCUAACACAUGCAAGUCGAGCGGAGCCAUCUUAACAAUCCCUUCGGGGUGCGUUAGGGGAAGCUUAGCGGCGGACGGGUGAGUAACGCGUGAGUAACCUGCCCAUUAGUGGGGAAUAACACAGAGAAAUUUGUGCUAAUACCGCAUGAUGAAUAUUGAAGGCAUCUUCGAUAUUUUAAAGAUUUAUCGCUAAUGGAUGGACUCGCGUCUGAUUAGAUAGUUGGUGAGGUAACGGCUCACCAAGUCGACGAUCAGUAGCCGAACUGAGAGGUUGAUCGGCCACAUUGGGACUGAGACACGGCCCAGACUCCUACGGGAGGCAGCAGUGGGGGAUAUUGCGCAAUGGGGGAAACCCUGACGCAGCAACGCCGCGUGCAGGAUGACGGCCUUCGGUGUAACUGUGUCGCAAGGAGAAAAAUAGACGGUACCUUGUGAGAAAGCCACGGCUAACUACGUGCCAGCAGCCGC
This 486-nucleotide ribosomal RNA is filed under the name uncultured bacterium. RNAcentral describes it as "bacterial SSU rRNA". It matches the Rfam family "Bacterial small subunit ribosomal RNA", at positions 28 to 518 of the family's 1533-position model. The record is from RNAcentral.